Molecule: transfer RNA, 82 nt
Filed under: Spirochaetaceae bacterium
Lineage: Bacteria; Pseudomonadati; Spirochaetota; Spirochaetia; Spirochaetales; Spirochaetaceae
Description: tRNA-Tyr
Rfam family: tRNA
About the family: Transfer RNA (tRNA) molecules are approximately 80 nucleotides in length.
Source: RNAcentral
GGGGAGUUUCCCGAGUGGUCAAAGGGGGCAGACUGUAAAUCUGUUGGCUCAGCCUUCGUAGGUUCAAAUCCUUCACUCCCCA